This 89-nucleotide transfer RNA is filed under the name Candidatus Bathyarchaeota archaeon. Its description in RNAcentral is "tRNA-Ser". It matches the Rfam family "tRNA". From Rfam's summary of the family: Transfer RNA (tRNA) molecules are approximately 80 nucleotides in length. Their secondary structure includes four short double-helical elements and three loops (D, anti-codon, and T loops). Further hydrogen bonds mediate the characteristic L-shaped molecular structure. tRNAs have two regions of fundamental functional importance: the anti-codon, which is responsible for specific mRNA codon recognition, and the 3' end, to which the tRNAs corresponding amino acid is attached (by aminoacyl-tRNA synthetases). tRNAs cope with the degeneracy of the genetic code in two manners: having more than one tRNA (with a specific anti-codon) for a particular amino acid; and 'wobble' base-pairing, i.e. permitting non-standard base-pairing at the 3rd anti-codon position. The record is from RNAcentral. Lineage: Archaea; Thermoproteati; Candidatus Bathyarchaeota.
GCGGGGUUGCCCUAGCCUGGUAGGGGGCAGGCCUGCUAAGCCUGUGGUCAGUGAUGGCCGCGCGGGUUCAAAUCCCGCACCCCGCGCCA